AGAGGUUAUCAUUCUUUGAUAUACCACUGUGGUGUAAUGUGUGUCGAAUUGGCGGCGAAGCUUGGUGUGUGUGCCUUGUGCAUGCGCAUCUGCGCGCCGCCAGCAUCAAACCCUAUUUUUAACUACUAGUUGUCUGAUUACUCUCUGUAAAGAAACAAUCUUAUA
This 165-nucleotide unclassified non-coding RNA is filed under the name uncultured Cortinarius. RNAcentral describes it as "sequence contains ITS1". The record is from RNAcentral. Lineage: Eukaryota; Fungi; Basidiomycota; Agaricomycetes; Agaricales; Cortinariaceae.